This is a long non-coding RNA of Pelmatolapia mariae (spotted tilapia), 303 nucleotides long. RefSeq lists it as uncharacterized. The transcript is spliced from 3 exons. Lineage: Eukaryota; Metazoa; Chordata; Actinopteri; Cichliformes; Cichlidae. The record is from RefSeq and is a predicted model, not a curated record.
GUAAGACUGCAGUGAAGCGAUGUACCAGAUUAAUCCCUGGCCAAAGAACAGUUCUCCACAGUCGCUGUCCACAUGGGUCAGUGGGACCAAGCAGCACUCUGCUAAUGUGUGGACUCUGACCAGCAACAUCCAGCAAGACCCAGGCAGUGUUUUCUAUCUCCCAGCUGGAGUUUUUUUGUUUGUCUGUGACUGGAGAGUCAGAUUUUUGUUGAGGCUGGAGGAACAGCCUCACACUUGCAGAGGUUAAUACACGCUACUGAUCCCUGAUGGGAGAAUCAUCACCUCUGCCAACAAAGAAGCCUG